GUGUACAGAUCAAGCCGGCGCCUUCCCACGGUCAUCGCUAGUACCUGAAACAACAACACUAACACUGUAAGCACAAAGCUUAGUGAGUUCCCCAAAAUACCACAUAAACAUAUAUUAGCCACUCGAGGCUAUAACUCUAUGGGUCCGUGCACCCAAGCUCUGGGAACCCUCAGGUUCUAACUCUGGGAACCUUCCGGUUCCAACUCUAUAAACAUGCACAGCAUAAAUCACAUAGACAUCAUGCAGUACAACACAUAGCAUACACAUAACAUACACAUACUCUGACACAUAACUCUGAUUACCUACUCAAGGUAAAGUAUAGUGAGAAGACUCACCUCGUGUAUCUCGAUAACUCGCGAAUCCUGGAAAUCACUCGUGCUCGAUCCUCCGAGCUAUAAUCCUCCUAUAACAUCAGAUGUCUCUAAUUAACACUUUUACCACUAGGGUUGACUACCCCUAUCAAGUCAACACUGGUCAACUCUGGUCAAUGGUCAACGGUCAACUUUGACCGGACUCGGCGAGUGCACUAGGGCGACUCGCCGAGUCUAUAUGUAUUCACCAACUCUCUAGAAUUCCCUUUUUGACACGUCGAGUACUCCCCCGACUCGACGGGUUCCACCUGGCAUGAAUCGCGAGGCCACCACGACUCAACUCGCCGAGUCUUAAGAACAAUUCGGCGAGUCCCAGCUCGACUCAGUCCACCUGUCAACCCUUGCUAACUCUCCCUGACUCACUGAGUCAAAUCAUAACUUGGCUGGACCACUCACUGAGUGGUCAAGGACAAUCUUCAUGCUACUCACCGAGUCUGUUCUUCAGACUCUGCGAGUCCAUGCAAUGCAUCUACUCAAACCAGCUUCUGAGGUCAGAUCCUCACCAUCCACUCAUAGAUCUGGCCCUCCUAAGCUUAUUUACCACGUAAAGUCUACAUCUUGGUGCACAUAAAACACCUACAAGUCUCUUUUUGGAGAAAUAACCUCUAAAAUGGCAACCCUAGCCUCUAACCCAAAAGAGAGGGCAUAAAGCAUGACAUUAGGGACUAUCUUGACCUGCUAAGGUCCAAAUCUAAGCACCAUAUUCCCAUGGGAUCUCUCACGCUUCCAAUACAAGGCAAAGAAGGCAUGAAGAAACCCUAGAUUUGACCAAAUCAACAAAAAUACGGAAAUAAGUUCUGAAUGAUACCUCAAGAAGCCUCCUCUGAUUAAAUGAAAGAAGAUCCAAGCUCCCCAACUCCUCUAGCUUGACUUUCCUCUUCCUUUCUUGCAAAAACACACAAAUUUUGUGAACAAUAGCCUCUUAUCUCACUCACACGAAUCCCUCAGCUGCUUUGGUGCUCUCAAGAUAAAGGUAGCCGCAAUGAAGGGCCAUAAGGUCCUUUAAAUAGGGCUUAGGACCGGGAAUUUAGGGUUUCAUUAAACAACGAGGACUCGCCGAGUCCAUUCCUUGGACUCGUCGAGUCCGGGCGCGAACCCGCGUCCUGAACCGCGAUCCUACUCGGCGAGUUUGAGCUCCAACUCGCCGAGUCCCCUCACAAAACUCCAAAAAUAUAAGCAUAAAAGAUACCUGGAGAUCCGGGCUGUUACAAGACUCCCCCACUAGAACUAGACUUCGCCCUCGAAGUCUCGCUCUGCAAAUAGCUCCGGAUGCUGCUCACGCAUCUCACGCUCCGGCUCCCAGGUCAUCUCCGAUCCCUUCCGAUGCUGCCACUGAACCAACACCAGGGGUACUUCCUUGUUCCUCAAAACCUUGAUUUUCCGAUCUCUGAUGGCCACUGGUCUCUCGGCAUAAUUCAGGCUAGCAUCCACCUGAAUAUCCUCUAAUGGAACCACUGCCGACUCAUCGGCUAUACACUUCCUNCUCAGCUGCGACAUGAAAGUGUCGUAAAUCUUCCCCAACUCUGUUGGCAAAUCCAAAUGAUAGGCGACUCGACCUACCCUCGUGAUCACACAGAAUGGACCAAUAUACCGGGGCCCCAACUAGCCUCUCUUCCUGAAUCGAAUCACUCCUUUCCAAGGAGAGACCUUCAGGAGAACAAAGUCGCCGACCUGAAACUCAAGCUCGGACCGGCACCUGUCUGCAUAACUCUUCUGUCGGCUCAGAGCGGUCAACAACCUCUAUCUGACCUGCUGAAUCUGCUCUGUCGUCUGAAGCACGAUCUCUGUACUGCCCAUCACCCGCUGACCGACCUCUCCCCAACAAAUAGGGGUCCGACACCUCCUCCCAUACAACAGCUCAAAGGGUGGCAUACCAAUGCUCGAAUGAUGGCUGUUGUUGUAGGAAAACUCUGCCAAGGGUAAAUACGCAUCCCAGCUACCCCCGAAAUCCAACACACAUGCUCGGAGCAUGUCCUCAAGCGUCUGAAUCGUCCGCUCACUCUGACCGUCUGUCUGGGGAUGAUAUGCGGUACUAAAAUGCAGUCUAGUACCCAACUCCUCAUGAAAUUUCUUCCAGAAUCUGGAAGUGAAGCGCACAUCACGGUCUGAAACAAUCGAGAUCGGCACCGCAUGCUGAGAUACCACUUCCCUCACAUACACCUCAGUCAAUUUCUCUGCUGAAGAACUCUCACUGAUGUGAAGGAAGUGAGCGCUCUUUGUCAACCUGUCCACAAUCACCCAAAUUGCAUCAACUCCCCUGGAAGUCCUCAGCAAUUUGGUGAUGAAAUCCAUAGUGAUCUAUUCCCACAUCCACUCGGGAACCUCCAACGGCUGCAACUUGCCAUGUGGCCUCUGAUGCUCGGCCAUGACCCUACGACAAGUCAAGCACCUCUCAAAAAACCACGCAACAUCCCUCUUCAUACAGGGCCACAAAUAAUCCUUUCUCAAAUCCAAAUACAUCUUCGUGGGCCCCGGAUGGAUCGAAAAUUUCGACCGAUGAGCCUCCUCCAUCAAAAUGGUACGCGUUCCUCCCACAAACGGUACCCAGAUACGCCCCUGAAAAGUCAUAAGCCCCCGACCAUCGGUAACGAACUCUGAAACCAAACCAACAACCCGUUCCCUCCUCUGCAUCUCAGGUUGCACAGCCUCCGCAUGUGCCCCGCGAAUGGCGUCCAAUAUCGGAGCCAUCACGGUCAAUCUCAAACAUACAUCCCGCAGUGGAGUGCUCUCUGCCCUGCGGCUAAAUGCAUCGGCUACCACAUUAGCCUUGCCUGGGUGGUAUAGGAUCUCACAAUCAUAAUCCUUGACCACAUCCAACCACCUUCUCUGUCGCAUAUUUAGGUUGGGUUGAUCUAUCAAAUACUUCAAACUCUUAUGGUCCGUGUAUAUCGUACACCGAACCCUAUACAAGUAGUGACGCCAAAUCUUGAGGGCGAACACCACUGCCCCCAACUCUAGAUCAUGGGUGGGAUAUCUCGACUCAUGAGGCUUCAGCUGCCUCGAUGCAUAUGCUAUCACAUGCCCUCUCUGCAUCAGCACCGCUCCCAACCCCAAAAUCGAUGCAUCACAGUAUACCACAAAGUCCUCCAUCCCUUCCGGGAGAGCUAACACCGGGGCUUCGCACAACCUUUGGCGAAGUGUCUCAAAGGAGGCCUGCUGCUCGGGGCCCCAUGAAAAAGCAACACCCUUCCGGGUCAAUCUGGUGAGUGGCACUGCGAUCUUAGAGAAAUCCCUGAUAAACCUCCGAUAAUACCCUGCCAACCCUAGGAAACUCCUGAUCUCGGAGGGCGACUUCGGCACCUCCCAACUCAUCACCUCCUCAACCUUGGCCGGAUCGACCAAUAUCCCUUCCUGGUUAACGAGAUGUCCUAAGAACUGGACCUCCCGCAACCAGAAAUCACACUUGGAGAAUUUGGCAUAAAGCCUCUCCGAUCUCAGAACUCCGAGAACCUCUCUCAAAUGCUCCUCAUGCUGCUCUCUAGAUCUCGAAUAUACCAGAAUGUCGUCGAUAAAUACAAUCACCGACCGAUCCAGCAUCGGCCUACACACUCGGUUCAUGAGAUCCAUGAACACUGCCGGGGCAUUGGUGAGCCCAAAAGGCAUCACCACAAACUCAUAAUGCCCAUAACGCGUCCUGAACGCUGUCUUCUGGACGUCCUCAUCCCGCACCCUCACCUGAUGAUAUCCAGACCUCAAAUCGAUCUUGGAGAACCAAGAUGCUCCCUGCAACUGAUCGAAUAAAUCGUCGAUCCUCGGCAACGGGUAACGGUUCUUGACCGUCAGCUUGUUCAACUCCCGGUAAUCAAUGCACAUCCGGUGUGAACCAUCCUUCUUCUUGACGAACAGGAUAGGCGCUCCCCACGGCGAGCUGCUCGGCCGAAUAAACCCCUUCCCCAGCAGCUCCUGAAGCUGCGAGGAUAACUCUUGCAUCUCUGGAGGUGCAAGGCGAUAAGGCACCUUAGCGAUAGGCGCGGCCCCCGGAACCAAAUCGAUACUGAACUCCACUUGCCUCACAGGAGGCACACCCGGCAACUCCUCGGGAAAUACAUCCGGGAACUCACGCACUACCGGAACCUCCUCAACUGAACUCGGCCUCUCGGAAACCACCCGCGUAUCCAUCACAUACGCCACAAAACCCUUACAGCCCUGCUGUAGACACUGCCUCGCCCUAGCGGCCGAACAAAACGCUGAUCCUGAACGUGUACCCUCGCCGUACACCGAAAGAACUCCCCCACUAGGGUCUCGUAUGGUCACCAGCUGUCGCUCGCAGUCGAUAACCGCACCGAAUCUGCUCAACCAGUCCAUGCCCACAAUGACACAGACAUCACCCAUCGCAAUAGGAACCAGAUCAAUCGGGAACUCAACACCGAAAAUCUCGACUACGCACCCUCGGAGAACCUCCGUGGCAUAUAUCACCCUCUCAUCAGCUAUGGAAACUCUCAGAGGCCGACUCAACGCCUCACGACUAACACUGAUAUGCUGACUAAAAGCCAAAGAUACAAAAGACCGACUCGCACCCGAGUCAAAUAACACCAAGGCAGGUACAGAAUUCACAAGAAAAGUACCUACGCAUAACAUAACAUAAGCAUAAUAUCUCAACAUCAAAAUAAAUACAUGAAAGAAUACAUACCAGCCACGACAUCGGGCGCUGCGCGGACCUCCUCCGCGGUCAACUGAAAGGCUCUCCCUCGUGCCCUCGGCGCCUCGGCCUUCACUGGCCGACUCUCGGUAGCUCUGAUGGCGGCAGGGGCAGAUCCCUGAGGUGCUCCCUGAGAUGAUCCUCGCAACUGCGGACACUCUGCCUUCCGGUGUCCGGUCUGAUUGCAGUGAAAACACACCGCAAACCCCUUGGGGCAGUCCUUGGCCAUGUGCCCCUCCUUGCCACACUUGUAGCAAGAUCCCGCUCUACAGACUCCAUCAUGACCCUUGCCACACUUCCCACAAGUGCGGCCCUUCUGGCUCCCUGGUUUGGGAUCAGCGGGCUUGGCCCGCUUGGCUGCCGGCUGAGACUGUGCCGGUCGCCGAUCCCUCCCCUGAGACUCCGCCUCCUCCCUGGCCUGAGUCUCUAGCUCAAUCUCCCUCUUCCGGGCAUUUGCCUGAAGCUCAGCAAAUGUCCGGUACGAGGAGUUCGCCACGAACUCCCGAAUGUCUCGCCUCAAGAUACUCAGAUAUCGGCUCAUACGUGCCUGCUCAGUGGACACGUGCUCAGGGCAGAACAUCGCCCUCUCAUGGAACAUCCUGGUAAUCGCUAUAACGGACGUAGUACCCUGUUUGAGGGUCAGAAACUCCUGUGCCAAACGCUCCCUCUCCACCUGGGGAACGUACUCAUCUCGGAACAUGACAGUGAACCUCUCCCAGGUCACUGCCGCAAGCUCAGUAGGCGUAUAAUGUGCCGUCACAAACUUCCACCAGUCCUUCGCUCCCAAGCGAAGCUGGUUCAGCGCGAACCGAACCUUCAAAUGCUCAGGAGAUGAGCAAGUGAAGAAGCACCCCCUCUAUAUCACAUAUCCAUCUCAUAGCUGCCACCGGACCCUGGGUCCCAUUAAACUCUGGUGGUUUUGUGUUGCUGAACUCCCGGAACAGCAACGUAUCACCUCCUUGCGGCCUCGCGGCAGCAAUCGCUGCGGUGGCCGCUGCAACAGCAGCCUCAGAAAGAGCGGCAUAACGCUCGUCAAAGGUCUCAAUCAGCGUGGUCUUAAUAGACCCGAACAUCUCUGGUAUCUCUGCCCUGAUGGCCGCAGCCACCUCCUCAUGGAUGAUCCGGCGGAUCUCCUCAUCACUGGUAUCACUGCUCUCAGGCAUCAAACGUGUCCUCACCAUGAUCUACCUCUGAAAUACAACGUACGAAAAAUUAGAACCCCUUCGAGCAUACUCACUCUCUACAACUCAUUCCUCCUUGAUCCUUGGUAUUCCAAAGAUUCUUACUUGGGCUGUACACCGCUCCGGUGCUUUCAGUAGUACGGGCCCAAUACUACUAUCCACACCGUAUCAGAAUACAUCCCAAGUCCUCCUCUUCGGAUACCAAAUUCCAAGUACUCUACCAUGCGUAGAUCACUCUCUAAUAGAUCUCUCACAAGCCUCUCGCUGCUACCUACUCACUCUCAAGCAUCUCAUAGCAGCUCACCUCUUCCUAGGCUAAGGCAUCACAAAUCAGGCCACUCUAGCACUAAUAGGAAUACCUAGUCUACUCUAGCAUGCGGAUACAUCAUAUCAAUAUCAAUAGCACAUAACAUGAGGGUAUUUUGGGAAAUCACCGUUCGGGCGCGGACUGAUCGUACACACAACUCUGCUCUGCGUUUCUUUUCAAAAUCUUUUACUCUUUUUGAAAAUACUUCUCAAAUCCUCAGUUUGAGUUCAAAUACGCCCGAAGGUGUACUCGAAUCCCUCAAACCAAGGCUCUGAUACCAACUUGUAACACCGUGAAUUUCAAAAUAAUUUUUCGCAAAUUAUAAAAACAUUUUCCAUUUAAUUUUCAUAAAACAUCAAGUUUAAAACUCCAAUUCACAUCAUACAAAAUCCCAAGAUCACAUAUCAUAAAAAUCCCAUGCGUGUGUACAGAUCAAGCCGGCGCCUUCCCACGGUCAUCACUAGUACCUGAAACAAACAACACUAACACUGUAAGCACAAAGCUUAGUGAGUUCCCCAAAAUACCACAUAUAACACAUAUUAGCCACUCGAGGCUAUAACUCUGUGGGUCCGUGGACCCUACUCUGUGAACCUACUGGUUCUAACUCUGGGAACCUUCCGGUUCCAACUCUAUAAACAUGCACAGCAUAAAUCACAUAGACAUCAUGCAGUACAACACAUAGCAUACACAUAACAUACACAUACUCUGACACAUAACUCUGAUUACCUACUCAAGGUAAAGUAUAGUGAGAAGACUCACCUCGUGUAUCUCGAUAACUCGUGAAUCCUGGAAAUCACUCGUGCUCGAUCCUCCGAGCUAUAAUCCUCCUAUAACAUCAGAUGUCUCUAAUUAACACUUUUACCACUAGGGUUG
RNAcentral lists this long non-coding RNA (7371 nucleotides) under Lactuca sativa (garden lettuce). Its description in RNAcentral is "long non-coding RNA (LSAT_LNC008319)". Lineage: Eukaryota; Viridiplantae; Streptophyta; Magnoliopsida; Asterales; Asteraceae. The record is from RNAcentral.